GGCGGGGGUCGGUGGAGGGGGCGUAGGGGGAGGCUCUCCCCUCUCCCCGCCAGGCUCUUCGCCAAUAAAGACAGAUGGUUCCCCCCAGCCCCGCUUCUCCCGGCCUCUUGGUCUCCCUGUUGGGGAUUUCGGGGGGAUGUGGAAGGGAAAGGGACACCUGGGGGGCGACCGGGGACGGACCCCGGUCCACGGGCACCAGUAGCCACCCGGGCCCGACGCGGGCCGCCCGCGCCCGGCCACCGACGGACAGACGGAGCCGCCGGCCCGGGCCCGCGUCCGGGUGAGCGUCGCCGGCCCGACGACCACCACCCCAACCUUUCCCCUUCCCCACGGCUCCCUCCCCUCCUCGACCCUAAGUGCACUCCCAGCGCUCAGUCCAGUGGCCUGGCACGGAGUAGGCCCCUCACGAAGACCCUCGUCGUUGGCGUGGCUCAGUGGAAAGAGCCCGGGCUUAGGAGAAAGAGGUCAUAUCUCAGUUCCCUCAUCUGUAAAAUGGGGAUGAAGACUGUGAGCCUCAUGUGGGACAACGUGAUUACCCCGUAUCUACCCCAGUGCUUAGAACAGUGCUCGGCACACAGUAAGUGCUUAACAAAUAUGAACAUUAUUAUUGUAUUUCACCGGCUUCUCCCCGCGCCCUGUCAACUCCAGCCCCAGUGGACGCUGCCCCCUGACACCCCGGGCGGAGCCCCCCGGCCCACGACGGUCCCUGUCCCAGUCGGGGUCCCUCCGGUUCGACGGGAGGGAUGAGCCGGGGAGCUGGGGGAGGAGGAUGCUCGGGCCGGGGACGCCCGGUUAGGCAGGAGAAGCAGCGUGGCUCAGUGGCAAGAGCCCGGGCUUGGGAGUCAGAGGUCAUGGGAGUCAGAGGUCAUGGGUUCGAGUCCCGGCUCUGCCACUUGUCAGCCAAAUGACUGUGGGCGAGUCACUUCACUUCUCUCUGCCUAAGUUCCCUCAUCUGUAAAAUGGGGAUGAAGACCGUGAGCCUCACGUGGGACAACCCGAUGACCCUGGAUCUCCCCCAGCGCUUAGAACAGUGUUCUGCACAUA
RNAcentral lists this long non-coding RNA (1044 nucleotides) under Ornithorhynchus anatinus (platypus). Its description in RNAcentral is "lncRNA (ENSOANG00000041642.1)". Lineage: Eukaryota; Metazoa; Chordata; Mammalia; Monotremata; Ornithorhynchidae. The record is from RNAcentral.